Molecule: long non-coding RNA, 1885 nt
Organism: Topomyia yanbarensis
Lineage: Eukaryota; Metazoa; Arthropoda; Insecta; Diptera; Culicidae
Exons: 4
Source: RefSeq, a predicted model, not a curated record
CUUUUCUGUUGUCAUAAGUUUUGUUUUAGUUCGGUCAUAAUUAUUUUUUAUCAGUAGUUUCGAGAUAGAAAGUGUCCCUAAUUAUUUGAUUCGGACGAUCCUAGUGGUCCGGAAGCCAUAUUUAAUUUUACAAGUAUAAAACUAGUCAUCCUCUAGGGAGAGCUAUGCCAAGACGCCAUAUUGAACCAGCAAAACUGUCAAAUUUGUGAGCCAGCCGAUAUAAACCAGCCAUUAUUUAGUUGCACUGCUAGCUUUAAACAAUGGAAUGAAAGAUGUUCAUGUUAUACGGGUGAUACGGGACACAUUACCCACCCCAACUAAUCCGGAAUUUUAUUCGAGAUUGUGGUUGGUUUCCGCCGAGAUUCCGACUCAAGUGCAACAACCGAUUCCGAAUCAUGCCAGAAUUCUGAAUCGAAUUCCGGCUUGUUUAACUGGACUACCAUUACUCUUUAGGGACUGUAUCAAACAACCGAAACGACGUAAAUUGGAAUAGUUCUCUAAUCUCACUUAAUCUAUCAUAUUACCAUCUCUACACGCAUCGGAGUCGAACGAUCAACAACCACAUCGGUAACUGAUCCAUGAAAUCUCCUUAAUUGAAGCAAUCUGUCAAAGUCGGUGCUUUUAAUCUUUCUAAUAACCGAUCCGUGUAGCGAGAACCAAUUAAUACUGAUAUGAGCGCUAAAUCAUCAAAGUUCAUUGAGGCGCGAUAUGAACCCCUGUGGCGGCGGUAGAGAAUAUCCACGACAAUAUACACCGUUGUUCUCCGAACACGACUGGCAACUGGCCCGUCUAAUUGAAUAUCAAAGUCAAAGAUCUAUACACACACACAUGAGUGAGUAAUCUGGUUCAUCAACUGCCCGCAGCGGGUCCGCCGGAAGGAACGCAAUCACCCGCGGGCAUAUUACCGCGCAUUAUUAAUAAUAAUCACCUACUGACCUUGGAUGACGAACGUCGCGCCGCGGCGCGCCGCCCGUGUCACUAUGAUGGACGAACUCAUUUUGCAUUUACUGUAAUUAUAAUUACAUCCAGUCGGGCGGAACGGGUCUUCGAUUCCCGCACCGUGAAUGGUUUAACGUAAUAGGAAUUCAAUUGUUUGUCACGUGUCACGUGCCGACAAAAGUAGAUAAUUAUCAGUGAAGAAAGUACAAAUGAAAACAUGCACACUUCAUUUGAGAGGCCUUCGCAUGCUUCCAGUUUUCUGACUGUAUUUUUAUGUGUAUCAGUUUCUAAAGAAACACUCAAUAUCAUAUUGGAAAUGCUCUUGUUAUUAACAGGGAAAAAACAAUUAGCAGCUACAGUUGUAAAGUGUAUGGAAGGGCGAAAACAUGUUUGAACUUACUCAUUUAUGCUACGUGUUGUGAUUCUAUGCUUCGAUUGCUUGAGAAAAGAUUUACUUUAGCACGAGUGGUUUUCUAAAUAGUAGCACUUUUCCGGGAGAGUCGAUUAAAAUGUUCAUUCUCAAUCAUCGAUGAAAAAUGCGAUGUUUUACCUUUACAAAAAUCAGAAUCGUGGAAAUGCAGCGAGUAAAGCUCAAGAAAAGUCUAGUAGUUCACGAAUGCCACUACAGAGUUAAAGAUAUGCAAUUUUUUAUUCGAAAAUAACCUGGUUCUGGACAUAAAUUAGAUACAUUAGUUCGGUAUGAAAUUAUUGCAGCCAACCAACCAUAAACGGUUUGACCGGUAAUGACGUUCUUAAUUGAACUGGAAAGCAUCUCACUAAAGUGGACACGGUUAUAUGAAAGAAAUAGAAUCUGUUCCGAAUAUUUUUGGGUUAAAGGGUGUUACGACCGAAAAUUGGUCAAACAAGAAUUUAUGUAAACCGGUUAAAAUUUUUAUUAAAAUUUAAAAUUUUAUUUAUUCAUACAGAAUAAAGAAAACAUAUUCAC